RNAcentral lists this ribosomal RNA (253 nucleotides) under uncultured bacterium. Its description in RNAcentral is "partial 16S ribosomal RNA". It matches the Rfam family "Bacterial small subunit ribosomal RNA", at positions 524 to 776 of the family's 1533-position model. The record is from RNAcentral.
UACGUAGGGUGCGAGCGUUAAUCGGAAUUACUGGGCGUAAAGCGUGCGCAGGCGGCUAUGAAAGACAGGCGUGAAAUCCCUCGGCUUAACCGGGGAACUGCAUCUGAUACUGGAUGGCUUGAGUUCGGGAGAGGGAUGCGGAAUUCCAGGUGUAGCGGUGAAAUGCGUAGAUAUCUGGAGGAACACCGGUGGCGAAGGCGGCAUCCUGGACCGACACUGACGCUGAGGAGCGAAAGCCAGGGGAGCAAACGGG